UACGGGAGGUAGCAGUGGGGAAUAUUGCACAAUGGGCGCAAGCCUGAUGCAGCCAUGCCGCGUGUAUGAAAAAGGCCUUCGGGUUGUAAAGUACUUUCAGUCGUGAGGAAGGUGUUAAGGUUAAUAACCUUAGCAAUUGACGUUAGCGACAGAAGAAGCACCGGCUAACUCCGUGCCAGCAGCCGCGGUAAUACGGAGGGUGCGAGCGUUAAUCGGAAUUACUGGGCUAAAGGGCACGCAGGCGGUUAAUUAAGUUGGAUGUGAAAUCCCCGGGCUUAACCUGGGAAUGGCAUUCAAGACUGGUUAGCUAGAGUCUUGUAGAGGGGGUAGAAUUCCAUGUGUAGCGGUGAAAUGCGUAGAGAUGUGGAGGAAUACCGGUGGCGAAGGCGGCCCCUGGACAAAGACUGACGCUCAUGUGCGAAAGCGUGGGGAGCAAACAGGGAUUAGAUACC
RNAcentral lists this ribosomal RNA (452 nucleotides) under uncultured bacterium. RNAcentral describes it as "bacterial SSU rRNA". It matches the Rfam family "Bacterial small subunit ribosomal RNA", at positions 340 to 786 of the family's 1533-position model. The record is from RNAcentral.